This 497-nucleotide ribosomal RNA is filed under the name uncultured bacterium. RNAcentral's name for it is "partial 16S ribosomal RNA". It matches the Rfam family "Bacterial small subunit ribosomal RNA", at positions 28 to 507 of the family's 1533-position model. The record is from RNAcentral.
GAUGAACGCUGGCGGCGUGCCUAAUACAUGCAAGUCGAGCGAACAGACGAGGAGCUUGCUCCUCUGACGUUAGCGGCGGACGGUUGAGUAACACGUGGAUAACCUACCUAUAAGACUGGGAUAACUUCGGGAAACCGGAUCUAAUACCGGAUAAUAUAUUGAACCGCAUGGUUCAAUAGUUAAAGACGGUUUUGCUGUCACUUAUAGAUUGAUCCCGGCCGUAUUAGCUAGUUGGUAAGGUAACGGCUUACCAAGGCGACGAUGCGUAGGCGACCUGAGCGAGGGAUCGCCCACCCUGGAACUGAAACGCGGUCCAGACUCCUACGAGAGGCCGCAGAAGGGUAUGUUACGCAGUAGGGGGAAGUCUUACGGAACAACGGCGAGUGAGUGAUGGAGGUCUUCGGAUCGUAAAACCCUGUUAUGAGGGAAAAACAAAUGUGUAAGUAACUAUGCACGUCUUGACGGUACCUAAUCAGAAAGCAACGGCUAACUACGUG